UACGUAGGGUGCGAGCGUUAAUCGGAAUUACUGGGCGUAAAGCGUGCGCAGGCGGUUCGUUGUGUCGGCGGUGAAAGCCCCGGGCUCAACCUGGGAACUGCAUUGGAAACUGGCGGGCUUGAGUGUGGCAGAGGGGGGUGGAAUUCCACGUGUAGCAGUGAAAUGCGUAGAGAUGUGGAGGAACACCGAUGGCGAAGGCAGCCCCCUGGGCUAACACUGACGCUCAGGCACGAAAGCGUGGGGAGCAAACAGG
RNAcentral lists this ribosomal RNA (253 nucleotides) under uncultured bacterium. Its description in RNAcentral is "partial 16S ribosomal RNA". It matches the Rfam family "Bacterial small subunit ribosomal RNA", at positions 524 to 776 of the family's 1533-position model. The record is from RNAcentral.